RNAcentral lists this ribosomal RNA (685 nucleotides) under uncultured bacterium. RNAcentral's name for it is "bacterial SSU rRNA". It matches the Rfam family "Bacterial small subunit ribosomal RNA", at positions 118 to 839 of the family's 1533-position model. The record is from RNAcentral.
UGGGAACGUGCCUCCUGGUCUGGAAUAACCCUGGGAAACUAGGGCUAAUACCGGAUACGCCCUUUUGGGGAAAGGUNGACUGCCGGAAGAUCGGCCCGCGUCUGAUUAGCUAGUUGGUGGGGUAACGGCCUACCAAGGCGACGAUCAGUAGCUGGUCUGAGAGGAUGAUCAGCCACACUGGGACUGAGACACGGCCCAGACUCCUACGGGAGGCAGCAGUGGGGAAUAUUGGACAAUGGGCGCAAGCCUGAUCCAGCCAUGCCGCGUGAGUGAUGAAGGCCUUAGGGUUGUAAAGCUCUUUUAUCCGGGACGAUAAUGACGGUACCGGAGGAAUAAGCCCCGGCUAACUUCGUGCCAGCAGCCGCGGUAAUACGAAGGGGGCUAGCGUUGCUCGGAAUCACUGGGCGUAAAGGGCGCGUAGGCGGCGUUUUAAGUCGGGGGUGAAAGCCUGUGGCUCAACCACAGAAUGGCCUUCGAUACUGGGACGCUUGAGUAUGGUAGAGGUUGGUGGAACUGCGAGUGUAGAGGUGAAAUUCGUAGAUAUUCGCAAGAACACCGGUGGCGAAGGCGGCCAACUGGACCAUUACUGACGCUGAGGCGCGAAAGCGUGGGGAGCAAACAGGAUUAGAUAUCCUGGUAGUCCACCCCGUAAACGAUAAAUGCCAGCUGUUGGGGUGCUUGCACC